GUUCUGCGCACUCCGCUUGAUAAGGGUGGUGAAUGGCUGAUGUUCCACGCACUCCCUCGGUACUUCCUCUUCUUUCGUUCGCUCUACCCGCUGUGUGUUUUACUGACCAAACACAUUUGCGCGUCGCCCUCGUGCCAGCUCGCAUCCGCAGAUUGCACUGUGCCGCCCCUCUCCAACACACACACGCGCGCGCGCACACCCCUAUUUCGAUUUCUCAGAUCACCACGGUGCUCGUACACCACACAGCACCGAAUACACCCUCGCAUACCUGCGUACAUGCCUUUUCUUCGGCGUAUCUUUUUCCUACCUUGUCUUCGCCACUCUCUGUGACGGUGAACAGCCGCCUCUCCUUGUUGUGUUGGGGCCUGUCAUUGCUGUCGUUGCUGCUCCGAGGCACACGUCACCUCCGCUCCAGCCACCUCCCACGGCAGGUAAAGCUUUUUCUCCAGUUCUUCGGCGCAGGGAGUCGGCAGCCAUUUUGUUUUUGUAGCCGUAACGAUGAAUACGCACGCGGCACUCCAAAACUUAUCCAGCACGCUGCUGACGGCGGGCGGCGGUGGUGGCGGGGCCGCUCACCUCACUGCGCCAGCCGCUGUCUCGUCCUCCUCGGCACUUGUGACGUCGAACAGCUUCUUCUCCCUUAUCGACGCCUACAUGAACCGCAUCUUGCCAUGUGAUACGAAUAUGAAGGUCCUCCUCGUAGACGACGGCGCGCUGCCGAUGAUCGCGACUGCUUUUUCGCAGACGGAGUUGCUCAAGCACGGGGUGUACCUCGUCGAGUCCCUCAACAGCGCCGCGCGGCAGCGGAACUUGAUGAAGAUGCUGCGGUGCUACAUUCUGCUGCGUCCAAGUCUCGCGAGUGUGGAGGCGGCAUGCGUGGAGCUGCGUAUGGCGAAGUACCGUAGCUAUCACCUCUUCUUCUGCGGCGCGACCAGCGCGGAGAUGCUGGACCGCCUCGCGAACGCCGACAACGACUCGCUCGUGGAGGAGGUGCAGGAGGUGUUCUGCGACUUCAACGCCGUCAAUAAGGACGCCUUCGUACUGGAGACGCCGCCGCCGCAGUCGCUUGUGUCGUCAUUCAUGUCAGCCUCGCAGGUGCGCCGGCUGGCGGAGGGGCUGGCCUCGCUCAUGGUGGCGCAGCGCCGGCGACCCCGCAUUCGCUACCAGAAGAAUAGCCCGUUUGUGCAGCGCCUCGGCGCAGAACUCGUGAAUGUGCUGAAAAGCGACCCCGGACUGUACGACUAUCCCGCGCGGGACACGGUGCUGCUGCUGUUAGACCGCAACGACGACCCGCUCACCCCGCUCCUCACCCCAUGGACCUACCAAGCAAUGCUCCACGAGCACAUUGGGCUGCGCUCCAAUACGCUCAAGCUGCCGGCCGACGUGCAAGGAGCCGAAGAGGAGGGCUACGUCUUCUCCGAGCACGAUGACGCCUUCUUCGCCAACAACAUGUUCAACAACUGGGGCGACCUGUGCAACAACGUGAAGAAGUACGUUGACCAGUGCAAAGACGCGCUGAAUCUCGACCGCCCCACAGCCACCCUCGAGGAGCUCAAGGCGUUCAUGCAGAAGAUUCCGCAGACGAAGAGCCUCACCGGGUCCGUCACGAAGCACACAACGGUGACCACGUAUCUCUCCGGCGUCAUCAAGAGGCGCAACCUGCUGGAGAUCUCUCUUUUGGAGCAGGACAUGAUCGCCUCCUCGGACCAGAGCAACCACUGGGCACGCCUGCAGUCCUUCGCGUCGCGCCCCAGUACGAGCCAGGAGGACCUCACACGUCUCUGCCUCAUCUACCACCUUCGCUAUGAGAAGCCCGGCGGUCCGUCGCAGGUGGCACCGUACCUCGACCGCGUCAACUCGAACUACGCCCUGCUCCUUUGUAAGUUGCGGCAGUACUACGGCCUUCAUCGAAACACCGAUCGCUUGUUUGCCGCUACCGGCGUCGUGGCAAAGAUCGUGAAGACGUUUGUGGAUGUCGGCAACAUUUACACUCAGCAUGAACCGGUUCUGAAGCGCACCCUGCAGCAGCUGUACAGCGGCCAGCUCGACACCGCCUCCUACCCAUACCUGGAACAGCCGACCUCCUCCUCCGGCGGCGGCGGUGUGGCGAACGCGGAGCAUAAGCCAAUGGAGGUGACCGUUUACAUGUGCGGCGGGUAUACAUUCGAGGAGGCAGCGCUGGUGCACGGCAUCAACGCGCGCACCGCUUACAAGCCGGCUGAUGCAGCCUCGUUUGCGGCGGGUGGAAGUAGCAUCAAGGCAUCGAUCGGCGGCGAAGCCGUUCUCAACACGCACUCCUUUCUGAGUUUGCUAGACCAGCUCUCGCCAUCGUAAGAGAGGCGUGACGUGCUGCAACUCGUGCGACUGGGCUCCCGUAGCCUUGCUAGCUAGCGUGGCUUCUUUAUAUGUUUGCAUAGGAGUGCGCUCGCGAAAGACGUUUCACCCUGCUCGGACUGCGGGCUCAGACCGCCGUUGCACCUCACCGCCGCCGCCGCCUUCUCCCCCUCCUCGUUCGCCUCUUUAUUUUCCGGCUACUUCUCCGAAG
This 2545-nucleotide unclassified non-coding RNA is filed under the name Leishmania donovani. Its description in RNAcentral is "gene:LdHU3.36.3140(CDS-product:vacuolar_protein_s orting-associated_protein_45-_like_protein)". The record is from RNAcentral. Lineage: Eukaryota; Euglenozoa; Kinetoplastea; Trypanosomatida; Trypanosomatidae.